This 83-nucleotide transfer RNA is filed under the name Colletotrichum higginsianum. Its description in RNAcentral is "tRNA CH063_16492". It matches the Rfam family "tRNA". From Rfam's summary of the family: Transfer RNA (tRNA) molecules are approximately 80 nucleotides in length. Their secondary structure includes four short double-helical elements and three loops (D, anti-codon, and T loops). Further hydrogen bonds mediate the characteristic L-shaped molecular structure. tRNAs have two regions of fundamental functional importance: the anti-codon, which is responsible for specific mRNA codon recognition, and the 3' end, to which the tRNAs corresponding amino acid is attached (by aminoacyl-tRNA synthetases). tRNAs cope with the degeneracy of the genetic code in two manners: having more than one tRNA (with a specific anti-codon) for a particular amino acid; and 'wobble' base-pairing, i.e. permitting non-standard base-pairing at the 3rd anti-codon position. Lineage: Eukaryota; Fungi; Ascomycota; Sordariomycetes; Glomerellales; Glomerellaceae. The record is from RNAcentral.
GCAUCUGUAGUGUAGGGGUUAUCAUCCCAGCCUUCCAUUUCCAAUGACAGCUGGGGACUCGAGUUCGAGUCUCGACAGAUGCA